This 1414-nucleotide ribosomal RNA is filed under the name Staphylococcus aureus. RNAcentral describes it as "bacterial SSU rRNA". It matches the Rfam family "Bacterial small subunit ribosomal RNA". Lineage: Bacteria; Bacillati; Bacillota; Bacilli; Caryophanales; Staphylococcaceae. The record is from RNAcentral.
UGCAGUCGAGCGAACGGACGAGAAGCUUGCUUCUCUGAUGUUAGCGGCGGACGGGUGAGUAACACGUGGAUAACCUACCUAUAAGACUGGGAUAACUUCGGGAAACCGGAGCUAAUACCGGAUAAUAUUUUGAACCGCAUGGUUCAAAAGUGAAAGACGGUCUUGCUGUCACUUAUAGAUGGAUCCGCGCUGCAUUAGCUAGUUGGUAAGGUAACGGCUUACCAAGGCAACGAUGCAUAGCCGACCUGAGAGGGUGAUCGGCCACACUGGAACUGAGACACGGUCCAGACUCCUACGGGAGGCAGCAGUAGGGAAUCUUCCGCAAUGGGCGAAAGCCUGACGGAGCAACGCCGCGUGAGUGAUGAAGGUCUUCGGAUCGUAAAACUCUGUUAUUAGGGAAGAACAUAUGUGUAAGUAACUGUGCACAUCUUGACGGUACCUAAUCAGAAAGCCACGGCUAACUACGUGCCAGCAGCCGCGGUAAUACGUAGGUGGCAAGCGUUAUCCGGAAUUAUUGGGCGUAAAGCGCGCGUAGGCGGUUUUUUAAGUCUGAUGUGAAAGCCCACGGCUCAACCGUGGAGGGUCAUUGGAAACUGGAAAACUUGAGUGCAGAAGAGGAAAGUGGAAUUCCAUGUGUAGCGGUGAAAUGCGCAGAGAUAUGGAGGAACACCAGUGGCGAAGGCGACUUUCUGGUCUGUAACUGACGCUGAUGUGCGAAAGCGUGGGGAUCAAACAGGAUUAGAUACCCUGGUAGUCCACGCCGUAAACGAUGAGUGCUAAGUGUUAGGGGGUUUCCGCCCCUUAGUGCUGCAGCUAACGCAUUAAGCACUCCGCCUGGGGAGUACGACCGCAAGGUUGAAACUCAAAGGAAUUGACGGGGACCCGCACAAGCGGUGGAGCAUGUGGUUUAAUUCGAAGCAACGCGAAGAACCUUACCAAAUCUUGACAUCCUUUGACAACUCUAGAGAUAGAGCUUUCCCCUUCGGGGGACAAAGUGACAGGUGGUGCAUGGUUGUCGUCAGCUCGUGUCGUGAGAUGUUGGGUUAAGUCCCGCAACGAGCGCAACCCUUAAGCUUAGUUGCCAUCAUUAAGUUGGGCACUCUAAGUUGACUGCCGGUGACAAACCGGAGGAAGGUGGGGAUGACGUCAAAUCAUCAUGCCCCUUAUGAUUUGGGCUACACACGUGCUACAAUGGACAAUACAAAGGGCAGCGAAACCGCGAGGUCAAGCAAAUCCCAUAAAGUUGUUCUCAGUUCGGAUUGUAGUCUGCAACUCGACUACAUGAAGCUGGAAUCGCUAGUAAUCGUAGAUCAGCAUGCUACGGUGAAUACGUUCCCGGGUCUUGUACACACCGCCCGUCACACCACGAGAGUUUGUAACACCCGAAGCCGGUGGAGUAACCUUUUAGGAGCUA